CAGGAUGAUUUGCUAAUAUAUGAACGUAAGAUAAAAUUAAUAUAAGACAAUUUGUAUACAGAUUGCUGUUUAAGGGAAUUAUGUAUAAAUAUUCGAUUUUCAUUUAUUCUGCCCUAAUUUGAGAAAUUUGGAUAUAGAAGCCAACAAAAGCAUUCUGUAACUUGCUCGGGCAAAUUAGAAGGACACAUUUCACAUUUGUAACAAAUUGUAGUUAUGGCACUAUAAAUAAAACUAAACACUCUGCUAACAGCUAUUUAUAAGGAAUCUGCUGAUAUGAGCAUUCCCAAAAAUACAGCAGAAUGUAAAAAAAUACGUCUGUAUGUAGGCAUUAUGCAAACAUUUUUCAGUAAACAGAGUUGCCUGGCAACCACAUAAUCUACAUUGACAGGUAUUUCAAGCAUUACAACAGCUUUUAUGUAUGCUCAAUAAGCUUAGAACUCUUCCAGAUAAGUUCCAAUAAAUUUUGAGGGUGGUUAAAAAAAGUCCAAAUAAUAGCUACGACAACUGAACUUUUUG
This is a non-coding RNA of Pelobates cultripes (western spadefoot toad), 516 nucleotides long. NCBI's taxonomy places the organism in Eukaryota, Metazoa, Chordata, Amphibia, Anura, Pelobatidae. The record is from the annotation of a GenBank genome assembly.